GGAGAGGAGAGGAGAGGAGAGGAGAGGAGAGGAGAGAAAGCGAUCUGCUGCUCGUAGCUCCGCCUCUGGAAGUCCUAAAACCCUCUCCUAAUUUCCUUUUAUCACUGAAAUUUUUGUUACUAAAAUUCAUCCAUACUCAAUAGGCUACAUACUGUAUUCAUAUUGUAGUUUUCGUUCUGUUGAUUUUUUAAUUGGGACUUAUCACCAUAUAAAUUUUAUUUCUAAUGAUAUGGGAAGUAGAUAAAAUUCUCUGUAGAGGUCACAAUAGAUUGUAUGGAAUUGUACCCUUCUUAUAACACAAUCUUGUUAAUCAUUAAAUCACUAAUAAAAAUGUUUUUUAAAAAAGUCACAAUAGGUAGGACAAGUAUAUUUUGAGUAUUUGGUUGAUGUCUUCUUUUUGAUAAAGCAAAGUGAAAAAUAGCUAAGACUUAAAACUAAGUGUGUAUGCAAAUGCCCUCCAAAACUAGAAAACAAAUCUGUGUUAAGUCUCUCAAAAAGCAGUUUCUUGGGGUCCUGCGGUGGCGCAUGGGUUAAGCGCAUGUGGCGCAAAGCGCUGGGACCGGCGUAAGGAUCCCGGUUCGAGCCCCCGGCUCCCCACCUGCAGGGGAGUCGCUUCACAGGCGGUGAAGCUUGUCUGCAGGUGUCUAUCUUUCUCUCCCCUUCUCUGUCUUUCGCUCCUCUCUCCAUUUCUCUUUGUCCUAUCCAACAACGAAUUGCAUCAACAAGGGCAAUAAUAAUGACCACAACGAAGCUACAACAAGGGCAACAAAAGGGGGAAAAAAAUGGCCUCCAGGAGCGGUGGAUUCAUGGUGCAGGCACCGAGCUCAGCAAUAACCCUGGAGAAGGAAAAAGAAAAGAAAAAAAAAAAAAGAAUUCACCAUCUCAAUACUGAAAAACUUUAGCAGGCAGAAAGAAUUAAUUUUCUCACUUUUUAAUUGCAAAUACUAUGAAAUGGGAAAACAUCAACUUUACAUGGAAACUCGUCCUUUGUGUCUGAUUAGAUUUAAAGUAUGCUUUUAUUUUGAUUGCUAAAUUCUGAAGAAUGUGGCAACCCAGCAGCCAGGGAGUUAGCACAAUGUUCUAGAGCAACAGACACACAAGCAUGAGGUCCUGUGCUUGAUCCCUCACACCAACACGCCAGUGUGAUGUUCUGAUUCUUUCUCUUAUUAAUAAGUCAAUCUUUCUACCCUUUCCUCUUCCCUCCUGUUCUCUUCGUUUCUUCCUUUCCAGAGCACUGCUCAACUCUGGUUUAUGGUGUUGCUAGGAACUUGGCACCUUUGCUGUCCCAGACAUGAAAAUAGUUUUAUAUGACCAUUAUGCUAUCUCCCUAGUGCCCCUUCUGCCUCAGAAUAUGGGAACCUAGAAUUUUCAGUUCUGCAGAGUAAGAAGGUGCUCACAGAGCAUAUUAUGAGUACAGCAACCCAUCUCUGCUUUUCUUAUUUUGCUAAAAAGGGUGCUUUCACCUUGUCCAACCAUUAAUAGAUAAAUAUUAAAAUUCCACAAAACACAGGACUUCAUUUAUUUGUGAAAGUCUUACUUUGAAAUGUAGUAACCCUUACGUGCAUUAUAACAGAAUUUGCGAUUUAUGAAUUCAGUCUAUCAUAUCUUUUAAUACAACUGGUAUUGACACUAUAAGAUUAUUUGAAAAAUAAAGUCUCAUUUGU
Long non-coding RNA from Erinaceus europaeus (western European hedgehog), 1664 nucleotides. RefSeq lists it as uncharacterized. The transcript is spliced from 2 exons. NCBI's taxonomy places the organism in Eukaryota, Metazoa, Chordata, Mammalia, Eulipotyphla, Erinaceidae. The record is from RefSeq and is a predicted model, not a curated record.